RNAcentral lists this ribosomal RNA (253 nucleotides) under uncultured bacterium. RNAcentral describes it as "partial 16S ribosomal RNA". It matches the Rfam family "Bacterial small subunit ribosomal RNA", at positions 524 to 776 of the family's 1533-position model. The record is from RNAcentral.
UACGGAGGGUGCAAGCGUUGUUCGGAAUUAUUGGGCGUAAAGCGCGUGUAGGCGGUCUUUUAAGUCUGAUGUGAAAGCCCCGGGCUCAACCUGGGAAGUGCAUUGGAAACUGGGAGACUUGAGUACGGGAGAGGGUAGUGGAAUUCCCAGUGUAGGAGUGAAAUCCGUAGAUAUUGGGAGGAACACCGGUGGCGAAGGCGGCUACCUGGACCGAUACUGACGCUGAGACGCGAAAGCGUGGGGAGCAAACAGG